AAAGCAGGAGCAAUCUUGUGAGUAAAGUGGCGUACGGGUGAGUAACACGUGGAUUAUCUACCCUCUUGUGGGGGAUAACCCUGGGAAACCGGGGCUAAUACCGCAUAAGCUCGAGAGAGGAAAGCAGCAAUGCGCAGGAGGAGGAGUCCGCGGCCGAUUAGCUAGUUGGUAGGGUAAAAGCCUACCAAGGCUACGAUCGGUAGCCGGCCUGAGAGGGCACACGGCCACACUGGCACUGAAACACGGGCCAGACUCCUACGGGAGGCAGCAGUGGGGAAUCUUGCACAAUGGGGGCAACCCUGAUGCAGCGACGCCGCGUGAGCGAUGAAGCCCUUCGGGGUGUAAAGCUCUUUCGGCAGGGAAGAUUAUGACGGUACCUGCAGAAGCAGCUGCGGCUAACUACGUGCCAGCAGCCGCGGUAAUACGUAGGCAGCAAGCGUUGUUCGGAGUUACUGGGCGUAAAGGGUGUGUAGGCGGUUCUCUAAGUCUGGUGUGAAAUCUCCCGGCUCAACUGGGAGGGUGCGCCGAAAACUGGAGGACUAGAGUGCGGGAUGGGAGAGUGGAAUUCCUGGUGUAGCGGUGAAAUGCGUAGAUAUCAGGAGGAACACCUGUGGUGUAGACGGCUCUCUGGACCGCAACUGACGCUGAGACACGAAAGCGUGGGUAGCAAACAGGAUUAGAUACCCUGGUAGUCCACGCCCUAAACGAUGCAUAUUUGGUGUGGGCCAUUCAUUUGGUCUGUGCCGGAGCUAACGCGUUAAAUAUGCCGCCUGGGGAGUACGGUCGCAAGGCUGAAACUC
This 800-nucleotide ribosomal RNA is filed under the name uncultured Bacillota bacterium. Its description in RNAcentral is "bacterial SSU rRNA". It matches the Rfam family "Bacterial small subunit ribosomal RNA", at positions 70 to 902 of the family's 1533-position model. Lineage: Bacteria; Bacillati; Bacillota. The record is from RNAcentral.